ACAGUCCGACAAAGACUACCAGCUUUCAUGAGAGAAACCCCAACUGAUGCAGAAGUGACAAAGAAGAUGAAAAGAGCUGUAUCUACCAUUGACAAAUUUAGGUUAGGCAGCAACCACCAUUUGAUUUUCUGGGGGGGGGGCUUUGGAUUUUUUUUCUGGACAAUCUUUUUUUUUUCGCCUGUGGCGAAAAACAAUCUAUUUAAGUCGAAAACAAUUUUUUCUUUCAAUUUUAGCAUUACAUAUAGUGGCAGCUGAGGGUUAAACAAACAAUUUUAUUUUCUCAGAAUCCAAAACAAAUUAUUUUUUUCUCCAAAAAAAUCCAUACCCCCCCCCCAGAAAAUCAAAUGGUUGCUGCCUUAUAUAGGUUUUUUACAAACAUUAUCUGAAUCACAAUUUCUGUCCUUCCUCUUCCAAUGCAUAACUUUUGUACCCCUAAGACUGGGUUUAACAAAACUGUGUAUACUUUGUAUACAGUUGCAUCAUUAACUGGGGGAGGGAGAGGGGCAUAUACCAAACUCAGGUCACUCUAACCUUAAAGUUGACCUUUGGCCCUAUAGUAAAACCUUGUACAAUUCGUGUCUGGCUAAAAACUUUUCUACCAUUGGAUGACGAUACUUAGUAUGCAAAUUGCAUCAUGACCUUGUUGUGUGUCAAAUUCUAAAUUUAUAAUCUGUUACACCUUUUCAACCGGAAUUUUCAAAGGUUUUUGAUUUGGUGAUGUAUGGCAGGCCGGCGGCUGCCAAACAGAGUCCAUUCAAUAACAUGAAAACGCUUAGAUGAUUUUUUUUUCAAAAUUCGAUAUGUUGUUCCCUGUGACUAAAUGAAGGUCAAGUUCAAUUUUCAUGAUUUUAGCUUUUCUCCUAGUUGACCUACAUCAUUUUUAUACGACCGCAAAAUUUAUUGGUAUCAUGUCGUUGACAGUGUCAGCGUCGUCCGAAGAAGGAUGGUUUCCAGAUAAUUAAUUGAGUAUAAGUAAAUAGAAAUGAAUAAAAUUUUAACACAAUGUUUAUAACCACAAAAAGGAAGGUUGGGAUUAAUUUUUGGGUGAUGGUUCCUAAGGUUUAGGAAUUAGGGGCCCAAAGGGGCCAAAAACAAGCAUUUAUCUAGUUUCAGGACAAUAAGUUGUGUAUAAGUAUUUCAAUUGCUCUGAAAUUGUAACACAAUGUUUAAUAUUAUAAGUAAAAGGUUGGGAUAUAUUUAAAGGGUUAUGGGGCAAACAGUCAAGGAAUAAAGGGCCAAAAAGGGGCCAAAAACAAGCAUUUUUGUAGUUUCAAGAAAAUAACUUGUGUAAAAGUGUAUGAAUCUUUCUAAAAUUAUACCACAAGAUUCCAUACUACUAAGGGAUGGUAAGGAUUGACUUUGGGGGGUUAUGGUUCAAAUCAAUUAUGAAUUAGGGGCAAAGAAGGGGGAAAACAAGGUUUUUUUCUGGUUAAAGGACAGUUUAGACAAUUUGAAAGCAGUGUAAGGGAAGUAUUCCAAAAGUAAUAUUUGAGCUACUUCACACUGAUUUUAAAUAUGUGUAUUGGAAUUUUGCCAAUAAUUUCAAUAUUCAUAAACCCCAUUGGAAAUUUGCAAAUAACUUUAGUAUAAUAAAUUUCAUUGGAAAUUUGCCAAUAACUUGAGUAUAAUUAGAAAUUUGCCAAUAAGUUUAGCAUUAUUGGAAAUUUGCUAAUAACUUAAGUAUAAAUAAAUAUAAAUCAUUGAAAUUUCAACACAAGGUUUGAAACCACAAAGGUACGUUGGGAUUGAUUGUGGGGGUUAUGGUCCCUUUGGUUUAGGAAUAAGGGGAAUAGAAGGGGCCCAAAGACAUAUUUUUCAAGUGUCCAAUAUUACUUCCGGAACAGUGUAUAGAAUUGCCUGAAAUUGUAUCACAAGUUUCCACACCACAAAAGGAUGGUUAGGAUUGGAGUUGUCAAGUUAUGACUCAAUCUGUUUAUGAAUUAGGGGCAAAAAAGGAGGAAAUCAAGGGUUUCCUGGUUAAUGGACAAUUACUUCAGCAAUUUUUAUACGACCGAAAAAAUUGAAAAUAUAUAUUGGUAUCAAGUUGGCAUCGUCGUCUGCGUCCUCGUCGUCCUCGUCAUCCGAAUACUUUUAGUUUUCGCACUCUAACUUUAGUAAAAGUGAAAAGAAAUCUGUGAAUUUUAACACAAGGUUUAUGACCACAAAAGGGAGGUUGUGAUUGAUUUUGGGAGUUUUGGUUCCAACAGUUUAGGAAUUAGGGGCCAAAAAAGGGCCAAAAUAAGCAUUAUUCUUGGUUUUCGCACAAUUACUUUAGUAUAAGUAAAUAGAAAUCAAUGAAAUUUAAACACAAAGUUUAUUGACCACAAAAGGAAGGUUGGGAUUGAUUUUGGGAGUUGAGGUCUGAACAGUUUAGGAAUUAAGGGCCAAAAAGGGGCCCAAAUAAGCAUUUUUCUUGGGUUUACGCACCAUAACUUGAGUAUAAGUAAAUAGAAAUCUAUGAAAUUAAAACACAAGGUUUAUGACCAUAAAAGGAGGGUUGGGAUUGAUUUUGGGAGUUUUGGUCCCAACAGUUUAGGAAUAACGGGCCCAAAGGGUCCAAAAUUAAACUUUGUUUGAUUUCAUCAAAAAUUGAAUAAUUGGGGUUCUUUGAUAUAUCAAAUCUAACUGUGUAACUAGAUUCUUAAUUUUUGGUCCCGUUUUCAAAUUGGUCUACAUUAAGGUCCAAAGGGUCCAAAGUUUGACUGUCCCUUUGCAGGGUUGGCAAAGUAUUACCCGCCCGGGAAAACCCAGGCGGGAAUUCCCGGGUUUUCCCGGGCUGGGCAAUACUCCCAGAAAUGGGUAAUACUGGGUAAUACUGGGCAAUAAGACUUUUUAAGCUUAUUUUAACACAAAAUAGUAAAGUCUUGUUGUAGUUUCAUAGUAUUAUAGCUAAAAUAUAUACAUUUUAUACAGAUAACCAUUGAGAGUCAUGUUUCUAGAAGAUUGAAAAUUCAAUUUCAUUCUUUUUUCCACUACUUCUAUGUAGGCAGAAUACAAAAUUUGAAUAUUUUAGGAUUAUCAAUACCUUGUUAAUUUCCAUGUAUUGUUUCAACUAUCCAAACUUUAAAAAAAAUGCAUUUUAUAAAAUCAAAUCAAAUCAAAUCAAUAUUAAUUAUAGUCUCACCUCUCUACAUGUACAAUACAAAACAUGAAUACAAUAUAUACAACAUGUUAAUUAAAAAUACAAAACAAUCUUAAAAACAUUCGAGAGAGCCACUCUCAAAAGAGUUAUGAGAGACUUUUACAUAAAAGGACAGCUCGAUAAAAAUACAAAACAUUUUUUAUCUAUAUAAAACAUUCUUCCUUUGAAUUAAAAUAUCAUGGCAGAUUUUGGCAGAAUAAAAGCACAAAUUUUCAUUUGUAAAUAAAAAUAUAAAUUUUUCAAAUCAUCAUUUAAGUCUAAAAAAUCAAUAUUAAAAAGAAACUGCUCUAGUAAAAACCUCUUGUCUUGCAUGUAAAUAUAAAGGGCAUUGAGUAAAACAUGUUUCUCUAUCUUCAAUGCAGUUCUGUUGCAUACAUGAAUCAUUAAAACAAAAUCUAUUUUCACUUAAAACCCUUCAUAUCUCCUGUUUCAAUUCUUAUUGGCGCCACACCACAUAGCACCAAAAUAGCACAAUAGUGCUGAAAGUUUAAGUGGUGUCAAAAGUCUAAAAUAUUUCUAUAUAACUUGAUUUUCAUUUAAAAUGAAAGUCCUACAAAAGAUCAAAUAAUCGUUGAUUAAAAAAAAACUAUUUAACUAAACAGAGCACCUUUGGUCAGGGUUUUUUUUUGUAUGAAGUUUCAUGUAGGGUACUGUUUUAUGGGUGACUAUUGGCCUGUUUAUUUUUAUAGCAGUGUUUAUGUGAAUUAUAAAUUUAAAUGUCUAUGCAAUCAUAUUGCUAAAUAAACACCCUACAGGGUCAAGUCAUUAAACUUUAUAGAAAUGAAAAGGCUGAAUAUUGUUAUAUAAACAUAUCAAUGUCCUAAUCUGAAUAAUUACUUAUUAAUUAGUGAUGUACAUAUAAAUUAUGCAAAAGUAAUUGUUCUUACAUUUUCUUGUUAAUUCUUAAUGUAAGAUAAUAUACAUUUGAAAAUGAAUUCUUUGAAUUUAUGUUAACAGUUUGACCAAUCUAGACGAGAGGGUGAUUUAAUAGACUUUCAGAAGAAAAUUAUUGAUAAAUGCCUUUUCCAAUUAGUAUUUGUGUAAUGUGUGCCUACAUGUUUACUUGUCUCAUAGUUGCAGAAAUUAGUACUUUUCAAAUGUUAUACAUUGUAUAUCACUCUCAAACAAGUAAAACUAAUUUAUAAAUCAAAAUGUUUAUAAAUAUCUUAAAAUGUAUUGCAAUUGAGUUUGAUCACUGAAUCCUCUUUAAAAUUCAGGGCAGUAUUUAUAUUACCUCAGUAUUGCCCAGUAUUACCCAUUAAAACCCAGUAAAACCCGGGUUUUCCCAGUAUUCCCACUGGGCUGGGCAAUACUCAUAAAACCCGGGUUUUUGCCAACCCUGUCCCUUUGGUAUCUUUCGUCCCUCUUUUAAACUUGGUUUGAUUUUAACAAAAAUUGAAUCCUUGGGGUUCUUUGAUAUGCUGAAUCUAAAAAUGUACUUUGAUUUUUGAUUAUUGGCCCAGUUUUCAAGUUGGUCCAAAUCGGGGUCAAAAUUAAACUUUGUUUGAUUUCAUCAAAAAUUGAAUAAUUGGGUUCUUUGAUAUGCCAAAUCUAACUGUGUAUGUAGAUUCUUAAUUUUUGGUCCCGUUUUCAAAUUGGUUUACAUUAAAGUCCAAAGGGUCCAAAAUUAAACUAAGUUUGAUUUUAACAAAAAUUGAAUUCUUGGGCUUCUUUGAUAUGCUGAAUCUAAACAUGUACUUAGAUUUUUUAUUAUGGGCCCAGUUUUCAAGUUGGUCCAAAUCAGGAUCCAAAAUUAUUAUAUUAAGUAUUGUGCAAUAGCAAGAAAUUUUCAAUUGCACAGUAUUCAGCAAUAGCAAGAAAUUUUCAAUUGCACAGUAUUGUCCAAUAGCAAGAUAUUUUCAAUUGCACAGUAUUGCGCAAUAGCAAGAAAUAUCUAAUUGCACAGUAUUGUGCAAUAGCAAGAAAUUUUCAAUUGGAGUUAUCUUUCUUUGUCCAGAAUAGUAGUUGAAUCAACUUAAAUCAUUAUUUUAUACAAUAUACAAUGUAUAUUCACUUUUACUACCAACUGAUAAAUUAAAACAAUCUUUACCAUUCAGUGAUAACAAGCACUUUUUUACAUUUUAAUAUUUUAUAAUGUAUUUAAAUGAGUAGUUAUUGUUGCAAACUCCAUUAGAAAUUUGAAUUGAGAUCAGUUUUGGAAUAAGGGAAAGGGGGAUGUGAAACAAAAAUUGGAAAGGUGGGGGGGUCAAUUUUUCUCAUUUCAGAUUUCAUCAAUAAAAAGAAACCUAUGCUGUGUCAACUAUUUAAUCACAAUCCAAAUUUAGAGCUGAAUCCAGCUUGAAUGUUGUGUCCAUACUUGCCCCAACCAUUCAGGGUUCAACCUCUGUGGUCGUAUAAAGCUGCGCCCUGUGGAGCAUCUGGUUCUCAUUUCAGAAAUUAGAAAGAAAAUUUCUUCAACAGCCUAGUGUAUUGCUCAAAAGCAAAAAAUUAAAUUGUUAAGUUUAUUAGACCACAUUCAUUCUGUGUCAGAAACCUAUACAGUGUCAACUUUUUAAUCACAAUCCAAAUCCAGAGCUAUAUCAAGCUUGAAUGUAGUGUCCAUACUUGCCCCAACUGUUCAGAAUUCUACCUCUGUGGUCGUAUAAAACUGCGCCCUGCGGAGCAUCUGGUUAAUAUCAGGAUUGAGUUAUUUCUUUUUUUACAGAAAUGGUUGAUUAUAUAUAUAAAGUUUGGUUACAUUAAGUGUUUUAAAAUAAGUAUCUCCUGUUAUCAGAUUAUGACAGAGCAUGUGGUAAAAGUCUUAUCUCCCAAUUAUCAUUGGAGUGACAGAUUUAUUUGAAAAUUCUCUGUUUCCUAAGUGAAGUGCUGAUGAUUAUAAGCUUUAUAGGACUGUAUAAAUAUAGUAAGAAAUGUACUCGUAAUUUUGAGACAGUUUGAAGAUAAUUAAAUUAAGUCUCCUUAAAACAUAUAUAUUCUUAACAUGCGUAAGAAUAUGCUUUUAUCUUGUAAACGGUUCAGAUCCCCACCCCUAAACCGUAUAUAUUCUUGUAUGGUCGAAUAAAAAAUCAAAUGAAAUAUUGGAAGAGUCCCUGGCGUUUACCCAAACCCGCGCUUCUGUUUGAUAACUUGUAAACUAUCGAGAUCCUUACCCCAUAACCAUAUAUAUUCAUGUAUUGGACAAUAAAACAAAUCAAAUCAAAUUAAGGGGGAGUCCCUGGCGGUCACUCUCACCCCCUCCGGUUUAAGGACUUGUAAAUGGUCGAGAUCCCCACCACUAACACUAAACCAUGGAUAUUCUUGUAUGGGACAAUAAAACAAAUCCACUGAAAUAUAGGGGAAUUCCACUGGGAUCAGAGCUGUUUUAAGUUUAAAUGUUGUGUACAUAUUUGCUCGACCUCUGCAGGAAAAUCCUUUUAGGUGUCUGUGAUGUAUGUUUACACAAUUUUGACUACUGGAUCUCUAUAGCAUGUUAAGAGGGAUUACUUGCACUUAUGUGUAUUGAUAAGUAUAUAUGACAAAAAGCCUUAUCCAGCUUCUAUUGUGCUUUGAUUAUCUUUUGUUUUGAGGCAAUACAAAUCUUAUGAAUUAAUUUAUCUUUGAAAACUGAAAUCCCCAAAUAUUAACUGAUUUUUUGAUUUUUUUUCAAUUUCAGCAUCAGACUUGGAGUGUUCCUAAGAAGAAAUCCCAUGAGUCGAAUUUUCAUUAUUUUGUAUAUGGUAAGAAAAUAAUAUUGUGACAUGUUGCAGGACUAUUUCGAAUGUAGAACAAUAUCUGCUUAACUGAGAUUAUCCAUAACUUUUUGUUGACCCUAUGACUUGUGUUGCAGAAAGCUUGACACCUGGAGGCAGAAGCCACUGGGUUAACUUACUACAUACCCUAAAUUGGGAAAUUUUGGCAUUGGAAAUUUUGGCGGUUUUCUUUAGAAAGGCAUAUGUAUGUAAUUUUGGUGCUUCGUCCAAUUAAUAUGUUUAAUUUUGUAACAACAGGAGUGAGCAAAAUCAUUCAUAUUUUCCUUUAUUUACCCUUUUAUUGACAAAAUAUUAUUGAAUUUCUCAAUUGAGAAACACAACACAGUUAAACUAAUGAAGGAAUCUGAUAUGGAUGCAAUUGCAAAUAAUUCCAAUUAUCAUGGUUCAAAGCUGCAAGAAGUAAUGAAAUAUAAUCUUUUAUUAUAUACUUCGUAGUAAAUACAGAUAAAUUGUAUGUGUAAUACAAUGAAUGGCAAGCGUGCUGUAUCAGCCACCCGUGAUGAUAUCGAUAUCAGCACGGUUGCAAAAGCUUUUAACACCUUUAAUCUGUAUGAGGCAUCACGUCAUCGAUUGCAAUCACUGUUGCAAAGCUUUAUCAAAACCCUAAUCUGUAUGACGUCAUGUCAAACCUAUAAUCUGUAUGACGUCAUUUAAAACCUCCUAAUCUGUAUGACGUCAUGUCACAUAAAAAACAUCUACUUGAGGUAUAUGUAUAUAAUAAAGUGUAUAUGAUAUGGCUUUUUUAAUAUCACACACCGUAUCAACCCUUAACCAAUAUAAUCCCUCGAGCAGAGCUCUUGGGAUUAUAUUGGUGUCUCUGGUUGAUACGGAUGCGAUUUUGAAAACGCCAUAUGAUAUUCUCUAUGAAUAUUGAAUUCACUAUAUAAACAGAUUAUUUAUUUUUAACACAUAUCAUACAAAAAUAAAUUUUGAUUAUAUCUAUAUAUUGCAGUACAGGAUAAUCUAUUGGCCAUCAAGGAUUUAAUUUUAAUCCUUGCAUCUCUGGCAGGACGGUUUACUCCUGGUUUGCCCACUUUUAAUUAUACCAAUUAUCUAUUAGUAAAGAAAGUAAAAAAGACAAAAGGUUUAAUGAGCAUACCAUUGUUUAGUCUGUUCCAACUUAAGUAAAUAGAUUAUUAGUGUUUUCUAUUUAUUCAAUAGCUGGAGUCUGGUGUCUAUUAAUCUGAAUCUUCAUCUUUUUUGGUGGGCGGGCUCCUCUGGCUGCAUACUGUAUAAUAUUACAUUCCUCUAGCUGCAUAGUGGAUAAUAUUACAUUCUAUUAUUGCUUUAACCUUGGUCUUCUUCAGUACCUCAAUGAUCUCAAAGAUGUUUAGGUGAGCAUUUUGGAGUCUCUACUCAAUUUUGUUAUGUCAUCCAGAUCUCAGAAAAAAAAUUUCCCAUAUACCUUUAUAUAACACAAGGUACUUAACUCGUGAUUUAGAAAAAUGUCAGGCGAGGAAAAAAUUCUGUUAUAUGCCAAUUUCUCGGCUGUCAACCCACCAGAACUUGUUAUGUCGUAAAUCUAAAUUGAUUUAUCUUCACAAUGGUAUUUAAUUCGCCUACUUUUGUUGUCGGAAUCAUCCGUAGCAAUCCUACCCAAAUAUGUCAAUUGUAAUUAUUUCAUCUACAGACGAUGGAUUUGCAAUUAAUGCGUCACGUCUCUUUAUAUAUCUCGGUUUCCGAUUGGUCAAUUUUAUGGGAAAGUCUAAAUGAUUCUCAGAGUUAUCUGAUCUUGCUACAUUUCAUACGUAAAGUCAAGAGAGUCUGAAUGACAUUGACGUCAUGGGAAAAUUUGUAACUUAUUAGAUAUACCACAAAUAACACUUGUUAGAUUUUUUCAAGGAAUCUUUUACAAUUUUACUAACCAGCUGAUAAGUUCUUUCUGAAAUAAUUUUUAUAAUUAAUCAUUUACUGCAAGACGUUUAUUGCCAAUUUUUUGUUGUUAGACGAAAUAAUUACGAUCAACAUACUUUGGAAGGAUGGCUACGGAUGAUUGCGACUACAAAAUUAGGCGUCUUAUAUACCAUUGUGAAGAUAAAUCAAUUUAGAUUUACGACAUAACAAGUUUUAGUGGGGUUGACAGCCAAGAAAUUGGCAUAUAAGUACCUUGUGUUAUAUAAAGGUAUAAUAUAGGAUUUUUUUUUAUCUGAGACGAGUGCCUGUGCUUGGAUAAAUGAAAAAGUGACAUGCUGAAUUUGUAAACUUUUAUUGAUUGUUAUAAAACUUGGACAGAGACUGUUCAACUGUUCAAGACGAAGAAAUAGCAUUUAAAGAUUAUUUUUUUUAAAUCUGUAUUUAACUGAUGAAUGGACUCACUUUUUAGCUCACCUGGCCCGAAGGGCCAAGUGAGCUUUUCCCAUCACUUGGCGUCCGUCGUCCGUCGUCGUCGUCCGUCGUCCGUCGUCGUCCGUCGUCGUCGUCCGUCGUCGUUAACUUUUACAAAAAUCUUCUCCUCUGAAACUACUGGGCCAAAUCAAACCAAACUUGGCCACAAUCAUCAUUGGGGUAUCUAGUUUAAAAAAUGUGUGGCGUGACCCGGUCAACCAACCAAGAUGGCCGCCACGGCUAAAAAUAGAACAUAGGGGUAAAAUGCAGUUUUUGGCUUAUAACUCAAAAAACCAAAGCAUUUAGAGCAAAUCUGACAUGGGGUAAAAAUGUUUAUCAGGUCAAGAUCUAUCUGCCCUGAAAUUUUCAGAUGAAUCGGUCAAUCGGUUGUUGGGUUGCUGCCCCUGAAUUGGUAAUUUUGAGGAAAUUUUGCUGUUUUUGGUUAUUAUCUUGAAUAUUAUUAUAGAUAGAGAUAAACUGUAAACAGCAAUAAUGUUCAGCAAAGUAAGAUCUACAAAUAAGUCAACAUGACCAAAAUGGUCAGUUGACCCGUUUAGGAGUUAUUGCCCUUUAUAGUCAAUUUUUAACCAUUUUUCGUUAAUUAAAGUAAUCUUUUACAAAAAUCUUCUCCUCUGAAACUACUGGGCCAAAUUAAUCCAAACUUGGCCACAAUCAUCUUUGGGGUAUCUAGUUUUAAAAAUGUGUGGCGUGACCUGGUCAACCAACCAAGAUGGCCGCCACGGCUAAAAAUAGAACAAAGGGUAAAAUGCAGUUUUUGGCUUAUAACUCAAAAACCAAAGCAUUUUGAGGAAAUCUGACGGGAUAAAAAUGUUUAUCAGGUCAAGAUCUAUCUGCACUGAAAUUUUCAGAUGAGUCAGUCAAUCGGUUGUUGGGUUGCUGCCCCUGAAUUGGUAAUUUUGAGGAAAUUUUGCUGUUUUUGGUUAUUAUCUUGAAUAUUAUUAUAGAUAGAGAUAAACUGUAAACAGCAAUAAUGUUCAGCAAAUUAAGAUCUACAAAUAAGUCAACAUGAUCAAAAUGGUCAGUUGACUCGUUUAGGAGUUAUUGCCCUUUAUAGUCAAUUUUAACCAUUUUUCAUAAAUUAAAUUAAUCUUUUACAAAAAUCUUCUCCUCUGAAACUACUGGGCCAAAUUAAUUCAAACUUGGCCACAAUCAUCUUUGGGGUAUCUAGUUUAAAAAAUGUGUGGCGUGACCUGGUCAACCAACCAAGAUGGCCGCCACCGCUAAAAAUAGAACAUAGGGGUAAAAUGCAGUUUUUGGCUUAUAACUCAAAAACCAAAGCAUUUUGAGGAAAUCUGACGGGAUAAAAAUGUUUAUCAGGUCAAGAUCUAUCUGCCCUGAAAUUUUCAGAUGAAUCGGUCAAUUGGUUGUUGGGUUGCUGCCCCUGAAUUGGUAAUUUUGAGGAAAUUUUGCUGUUUUUGGUUAUUUUCUUGAAUAUUAUUAUAGAUAGAGAUAAAUUGUAAACAGCAAUAAUGUUCAGCAAAAUAAGAUCUACAAAUAAGUCAACAUGACCAAAAUGGUCAGUUGACCCCUUUAGGAGUUAUUGCCCUUUAUAGUCAAUCUUUAACCAUUUUUCAUAAAUCUAAGUAAUCUUUUACAAAAUCUCCACUGAAACUACUAGGCCACAAUCAUCUUUGGGGUAUCUAGUUUGAAAAAUAUGUCUGAUGACCUGGCCAUUCAACCAAGAUGGCCGCCACGGCUAAAAAUAGAACAUAGGGGUAAAAUGCAGUUUUUGGCUUAUAACUAUGAAUUCAAAGCAUCUAGAGCAAAUCUGACAAGAAGUUAAAUUGUUAAUCAAGUCAAUAUCUAUCUGCCCUGAAUUUUUCAGAUGAAUUGGACAACUGGUUGUUGGGUUGCUGCCCUCCAAUUGGUAAUUUUUAAAGAAAUUUUGCCGUUUUUGGUUAUCUUGAAUACUAUUAUAGAUAGCGAUAAACUGUAAACAGCAAUAAUGUUCAGCAAAGUAAGUUCUACAAAUAAGUCAACAUGACCAAAAUGGUCAAUUGACCCCUUAAGGAGUUAUUGCCCUUUAUAGUCAAUUUUUAACAAUUUUCAUUAAUUUGGUAAAUAUAUGUUAAUUUCUACCAAAUAUAGUUCUCUGUUACUAAUGGGCAAAGUUCAUUAUAGAUAUAAUUGUAAGAAGCAAAAUCGUUCAGUAAAGUAAGAACUUCAAACACAUCACCAUCACCAAAAUACAAUUUGUCAUGAAUCCAUUUGUGUCCUUUGUUUAAUAUGCACAUAGACCAAGGUGAGCGACACAGGCUCUUUAGAGCCUCUAGUUUAAUCAACAUUUACUGACAGUAGCAAUCUCAGCCAAGACACAAGAGUUCUGCCGAACCCCUGAUAUUUUUUUCUUAUUUUGUGCCAUAUAACUAUGAAAUAGAUGUUUUUGUUGUAGGUUUUGCUUCAUGUUUGGGUGAUGGUAGUGCUUAUGACUUAUCAACCAGAAAUACACGCUACAGACUCCAAACAACCACACGAUCCACAGACUUGAAGUCGUAUUUCAAAUGUGAUUGUAUGAUUAAAUACCUUGUGCCUAUAUAGAACAUACUGUUACAGUAAUAAUGCUAUAUGUAUCAUUUAUGCUGCACUUGAAAUUCAUAUUUUGUUUAUUAUCAAUGUAUUGGUGAUACUGGACAGCAUUCUAAAGCUCUGUGUAACAGUUAAAGGGAGAUUUGAUAAAUCAUUUCAACUGUAUGGGGAAUGAUUUAACUAAUAUGUAAAACCUUUAUGUUUGAGCUGUCAUUUUAUCAACUGAAAGAAAGGGUAUCACCACACCUUAUUUCUAGCAUAUCUAUAGGAGUUUUGUUGUUUAUUCAUGUAUCAAAACAAAUAGUACAAUUAUCCAUCAGAUCUUGGUAAAUGUAUUAUUAGAUUGGUGUGUGUAUAAAUGUUUUGAUCUCUGAAAUUGUACCACAUGGUUCCAUACAUUUAAAAGGUUUUGAUUGAUUCACAUUUAAGUCCAAAAGGUCCAAAAAUAAAAGUUAGUUUUAUUUCAUUGAAUUAAUAUCUUUGAUAUAUAUGUGGAAUCUAACUGCAUAUUUAUAUUUUAAAUUUUGGGCCAGGAUUUAAAAUUGGUCCACUAAAAAGUCCAAAGGAUCCAAAUUCAAACUGAUUGAUUUCAACAAAAAUAAAAAAUAUGGGGGUUCACAUUGUAUUUUCUCUGAAACCUUCAUUUCUCAAAAGAUAUUAAUUAAAAGUUUUAAGAAAAAAGAAAAAGUGUUUUUAAGUUAUUGCCAAAGUACCUGGGAUAGAUAAAAUAUAUGCAACACAGGGGACAUAGGAUUUCUUUUAUUUUAUUUUUCCAGAAACAUUUAAUGUGUGCAUCUAAAUUGGUUAGUGCCAAGUUAGAUAUUACAAUCACAUAGAAUCUGAUGUCCUCUUAAACCUUGUCUCAAUUAUCCACAGUGUGAAAGGUAGAAAAUUUGUUGAUUACUUAUUCUUUUUAUUGGGAAAAGAUAGAGCUAUCUUAUAUCUUAUACUUUUGGCAAGUCUUUAUUUGGAUGCAUCACAUUUGCUCGCAUUUGAGGAUUAUUCUUUUUUACGUUUCCUCGCAGCUACAUUUUGCUUGCAGGUAAAACAUGUAGUUCAUAAUAGAGAUUCUGAUAGUUGGUUUAAACUGGUGUAUAAUUUUAAUUAUAUUUUAUAAUAAUAUAUUUUUAUAUGACCAAAUUUUGUGGUUGUAUAAUGUUAUGUUGUCAGCUGUAGGUUUCGUAGUCAAGACAUUUGGUUUCUAAACAAUAAAUUGAGUAUAAUAUGUGUAUGAAUUAAUCUCUGUAAAAUUGUACAGGAAGGUUGUGAUUGAUUUUGGAGCUUGUUGUUUUGUUUAGGAAUAAAAAAAAAGAGGGCCAUAAACAUUUUUCUUGUUUCUUGAUUUUUAGGUAAAGAUUGCAGGAAAUGCAAUCAAAACCUUAUGGGACUGGCUUGAUAUCUGAAUAUUCUAAGGCUGAUUGCUACCUUUUUUGAUACACAAAAUAUAGUGCAUUAACUUUAACAUUCUAUACAUACUAUCCUUGAACAUUUCCAGAAUUUUAUCAAUGUAAUUUAUGCUCAGAUAUUCAAGGCACAAAAUGAUGUUUCACUUGUCAAGAUAAUUACAUAGUUUUUACAAGGUGCAGGAAUCUAAUAUCUGUUCAAAAAAUAUAAAUAAUGUCAUUGUUAUCCUCAUCUGUAAAAAUUGGAGUUAUCUUCCUUUGUCUAGAAUUGCUGUUAAAUCAACAACAACCAAUGCAAUAUUUAAUUUUACUUCCCACUGAUGAAUUCAAGCAAUCAUUACUGUUCAGUGCUUUCAAGCGCUUUGAUUGUUUAAGUGUAUGGAUCUUUUUGUAGUUGUACCACAAGGUAUGCAAAAAAGGAAAGUUGGGAUUGAUUUUGGAGGUAAUGGCCUUAACCGUUAUCAUUAAUUGCUACAUAGGGACAAAUUUUAUUACACAAUAUACAUGAAUAGAUGAUAAAAACCAUAAGUAUUUUGAAUUGAGUCCUUGUGGUCAAUUGAGACCAAUACCAAGGGCCAAGGUCAUAUUCUAUAUUUUGACUCUUUUGUAUUUAUGCCACUGACAUUUCUUGUGAUAUAUAUGUUUUUGAAAUUUCGUACACAUUAUAAUUUGCGUAGGGUUAUUGUACAAGUUGUCAGUAUUUUGAUGCACACCUGCUUUCACCAGUUGAUACAAGUUUAUCUUGAAAAAGUAACCAGUUCGAUGUUGUACUCACAAAUUUAUAUACUUGAACCUGAAACUAAGCAUUUGUCAUAAAAUCAUGUCAUAAAUCUACAAAUGAGAACAUUGAUUAAUUUAGAUAAUAUUUUUAUUUUUUGACUAAUCCAAAUUCUUUGUCCACAAAAUAUAUUUUAGUGUUUUUAUAUAAACUUUGUGUCAGUACUAUGUGUAAGACUAGCAUAAAAUUGUGGAUAUAAAACAGUCAUAAGCAUAACCAAAGACACUGUGCUGACUUUAUCUAACUAUGAAAAAACCCACAAAAUACUGAUAACUUGUACAAAAAUACUGUACAAAUCAUAAUUUGUACACAACACCAGGAACACAUGUAUUGAUUAGAUAUACUGUUCAGACAACAUAUAUAAAAAAAGACUAGUGUAAAUUGUUUGCUUUAUUGUGAUGAAGAUAUGCGAUACAUUUGGUGUGAAUUGAAACAAUUUAUUGAGCUAUAUUGAUCUUUCAAAAUUAUAUUAUUGUCCACCAACGUGAAAAUUGAGUCAAGGUUGUAGGUCAAUGUCAUUUUAAAGGCACUAGCUACCGUUUCAUUGAAAUAUAAAGAUAUUAAAAUAAGUCUUGAUACAUUGGAGACCAAUUGCCGGAAUGCAGGGUUGGGUAAGUACUGAUAUAACAAUAACAUUUGCAGGGCUGCCAAGUCUCACGCAUUUAGAGUGAGACUCGCGCAUGUUCAUGCUUUUUUGGCGGCAUUUUCCUUUGAUCUAUUGUUUUUUUUCUCUUUGAUCUUUUCAAUUUUGGCCAAAUCUCACGCAUUUGCUUCAUGAAAAGUUGGCAGAACUGCAUUUGUGUCUAUGGUUACAUUGUGUUAUUGUUACAUUAAUGCACUUAAAUGUACACUGGGAUUAUUAAUCAUGUAUUUAAAUAAAACAUGAAAACUUGUAUUUGAAUUUUACAUACAAUUUUUAUGCCCCAUGGGCAGUAUGUUUUUGGUCCAUGCGUCCUUUUGUCUGUCAGACGUGUCUUUCCCGGUUUUUGGUCUGUCUGGUUAUAGUUUUUGGUCAGGGUAGAUUUUGAUGAAGUUGAAGUCAUAUCAACUUGAAACUUGGUACACAUGUUCCCUAUGAUAUGAUCUUUUCAAUUUUAAUACCAUUUUAUUAAUAGAAAUGAUAGUGUGAGUGUUCUAUGGACACACUCUUGUUAAAAUUUACAAUGGACUUGCUUUUUCGACAUAAGUCGUUGGCUCGACAACAAUUACAAUUUUUGAAUUUAUAAAGGGGUAUAACUCUAGAACAGUAAAACUGACACAACCAUAACUCAAAUUUAAUCAGUAUUUUGUGAUAAUGAGCAUUGUGUAUAAGUUUCAUAACAUUUGGUUGAGACAAACUAAAGUUGGAGACGAAAAUUCAACUUGACCUGUGUUUUGUGGAAAUAAGUAUUGCUUAUUAGUUUCAUAAAAUUUGGUUUUGGAAAACUAAGUUAGAGACCAGAAACCAAUUUUUGGAUGUACGGAUGUAUGUACAAGUAAGGGACGUACAUACUUACAGACAACUAGAGGCUCUAAAGAGCCUGUGUCGCUCACCUUGGUCUAUGUGAAUAUUAAACAAAGGAAGCAGAUGGAUUCAUGACAAAAUUGUGUUUUGGUGAUGGUGAUGUGUUUGUACAUCUUACUUUACUGAACAUUCUUGCUGCCUAUAAUUAUCUCUAUCUAUAAUGAACUUGGCCCAGUAGUUUCAGUGGAAAUGUUAGUUAAAAUUUACAAAUUUUAUGAAAAUUGUAAAAAAUUGACUAUAAAGGACAAUAACUCCUAAAGGGGUCAACAGACCAUUUUGGUCCUGUUGACUUAUUUGUAGAUCUUACUUUGCUGAACAAUUUUGCUGUUUACAGUUUAUCUCUAUCUAUAAUAAUAUUCAAGAUAAUAACCAAAAACAGCAAAAUUUCCAAUUCAGGGGCAGCAACCUAUCAAAGAGUAGUCCGAUUCAUCUCAAAAUUUGAGGGCAGAUAGAUCUUGACCUAAUACAAUUUUACCCCAUGUCAGAUUUGCUCUAAAUGCUUUGGUUUUUGAGUGAUAAGCCAAAAACUGCAUUUUACCCCUAUGUUCUAUUUUUAGCCAUGGCAGCCAUCUUGGUUGGUUGGCCGGGUCAAAACUAGAGUUAAACUAGAUACCCCAAUAAUGAUUGUGGCCAAGUUUGGUUUAAUUUGGCCAAGUAGUUUCAGAGGAGAAGAUUUUUGUAAAAGUUAACGACGACGGACGACGCUGGACGCCAAGUGAUGAGAAAAGCUCACUUGGCCCUUUGGGCAAGGUGAGCUAAACUAGAGGCUCUAAAGAGCCUGUGUCGCUCACCUUGGUCUAUGUGCAUAUUAAACAAAGGACACAAAUGGAUUCAUGACAAAAUUGUAUUUUGGUGAUGGUGAUGUGUUUGAAGUUCUUACUUUACUGAACGAUUUUGCUUCUUACAAUUAUAUCUAUAAUGAACUUUGCCCAUUAGUAACAGAGAACUAUAUUUGGUAAAAAUUUACAUAUAUUUACCAAAUUAAUGAAAAUUGUUAAAAAUUGACUAUAAAGGGCAAUAACUCC
RNAcentral lists this long non-coding RNA (16434 nucleotides) under Mytilus galloprovincialis (Mediterranean mussel). Lineage: Eukaryota; Metazoa; Mollusca; Bivalvia; Mytilida; Mytilidae. The record is from RNAcentral.